This 496-nucleotide ribosomal RNA is filed under the name uncultured bacterium. Its description in RNAcentral is "bacterial SSU rRNA". It matches the Rfam family "Bacterial small subunit ribosomal RNA", at positions 28 to 533 of the family's 1533-position model. The record is from RNAcentral.
GACAAACGCUGGCGGCGUGCCUAACACAUGCAAGUCGAACGAGGUUUUCCCUUCGGGGGGAGCCGAGUGGCGGACGGGUGAGUAACGCGUGAGCAACCUGCCCAUCAGAGGGGGAUAACAUUCGGAAACGGAUGCUAAUACCGCAUAAGACCACAGUGCCGCAAUGGUACGGAGGUCAAAGGAGGAAUCCGCUGAUGGAGGGGCUCGCGUCCCAUUAGGUAGAUGGUGAGGUAAUGGCUCACCAUGCCGACGAUGGGUAGCCGGACUGAGAGGUUGAUCGGCCACACUGGGACUGAGACACGGGCCCAGGACUCCUACGGGAGGCAGCAGUGGGGAAUAUUGGGCAAUGGGGGAAACCCUGACCCAGCAACGCCGCGUGAAGGAAGAAGGUUUUCGGAUUGUAAACUUCUGUCCCAUGGGAAGAAACAAAUGACGGUACCAUGGGAGGAAGCCCCGGCUAACUACGUGCCAGCAGCCGACGGUAAUAGUGUGUGUA